Molecule: long non-coding RNA, 1800 nt
Filed under: Equus caballus (horse)
Lineage: Eukaryota; Metazoa; Chordata; Mammalia; Perissodactyla; Equidae
Description: lncRNA (ENSECAG00000050203.1)
Source: RNAcentral
UGGCAGCACUGCCCUGGCACCAAAGGAGCUGAUAAGACGCACGGAAACACCGUGUCAGGGGCUGUGCAGCCACGCUAAUGCUACAUUUAGAUGCAAGAAUUUGACAGCUUCAUUACUGUGAUUGUCCCUGAGCACUUAUGUAAGGAAAGAGAACUCCCAAGAAAACAGAAAUCUGUCUGCCUAUGCUUUCCUAGUACUCCGAUUACAAACAAGGCUCUCGUGAUAGAGAGUGAACCAACAGGAAACAUUCUAUAAGAAAUAUUUAUCCAGCAAACGGCAUGUGGAAGCUGUUUCCCUGUGUUCCCUAAGUCCCAGGUUUCGGACGCUCUGUGCCUCCCUCUCGGUGUCUGAUGAGCUGGGGUGUCUUCCUCGUCCAUCUUCCCCACUGCCUGUGUGGAGGGUCCCGGGCUGGGGCUCUUGCUGGGAGGCCUUCUCAGGACGCAGCUCCCCGCCAAGGGCUGCAUCUCUGCUGCCCGGUCCUGCAGCUCCGCGCUCAGCUGUCCGGACUAUUUUGAAAUCCACCUAAUGGCCUUAGGGGAGAGAAAACAAUGCCCUUUGUGUGUCCCACUAUGAUGACUGUCAUCUUCUCUCAUCUUUCCUCCCUUUUCUGGCCAGAGUUUCUUCAGCAACCCACAGCCCCCUUAUUUCCUGUGUUCCACUGCACUUACUUAACAACCGAUUUGCCAAUUAUAGUCUGGCCUAAUUAUAGCUGUGUUCCAUGUGGUUGUAACCAGAGUGUCCAUCUACUUCGGUAUUCUGAUUUUUUCAUUUAACUUUAUAUAGAAAAUUACGUUGCCUUACUCCUACAUUGUCUCCAAUAAAAAUUUUUAUAUUGACUUCAUAGUUAGAUGACAUCAAGGAGAAAUAUUAUGGUUUACUUCCAAAAUAAUGCUGAAUUAAAGAUUUUGUGAACAAAGUUUUUCUCUUCAUCUGGAUUAUUUCCACUGGCUAGACUGCCUGAGUUGGCAUUUAAGGAUAGAAGAAAUGACCGCGUUAUGGCUUGCUCAGAUCUUUCAAUAUGUCACCGUGUUGCACUACAGGUCAUACGUUGAUUUUACACGCUCCAGUUUUCUUUUUAUUUUUUUCCCCUACAGGCUGUUCUCCCCACCAGCUCCCAGGCCCACAGCAUCUAUGCCUGAGCUCCUCAGCAUUUGGAGAGGAGGUGGCCACUGGUUGUACUGACCCCAGACCACUGUCAUAGGGUUACACCACAUUUCCCAUCUCCACCUGCAGUUAGUUGAGGCCAUGUGACUGAAUUCCGGCCAAUGGAAUGUGAGCAGAAGAGAUGCGUGCUGCUUCCAGGCUCAGCUCACAAAAAUCUGCCAUUGUGGUCCCCCUUGUUCAUUCCCCUUCUGCGAGUUCCCCCUGGAAGCCACAUGUUAAGGAUGGUGAAACCACAAAGUGGAAGGAAACUUGGUCCCCGAAUCACAGCUUGAAGGAGAGAUUUAUGCCUGUUAGAAACACUCGCUUUGGACUUUACAUGAGUGAGAAGUAUACUUCUAUUUUGUUAAGCCAUGAGAUUCUUGGGUUUAUCUAUUAAGGCAGCUGGCAUUAACUAAAAUAUCAUGUAAAGCAUUCUGCAUAAUACCUGACAAAAUACCUGCUGAAUAAAUGUUAGUGUUAUUGGUAUCAUGACUCUUAAUAAUACAAACCUAGAGCCUAAAACUCCACAGCAAUAGUGUGGAGCUCCCUUCUGCAGUAUACAUGACUUGGCCUUUCUUUUUAGGCUACAGAAGGUCUAGGAAAUAAAGUUGUAUGUGGAAGUAGUAAAAACCAGAGUUAUUCAUAUGUGUAACUUGC